UAGUGGAGAGAACAAACAGACCUCCACUGCCAUAAAUUAUGCAGUCGACUUUCCCACAUUUUGGGACACCAUAGGGUUCAGCACAACUGUAGUACAAUGAAUAAGCCUCCCCCUGGGGAGAACGUCUUCACGAUCAUGGCAUCACUUGUGCUGU
This 154-nucleotide small nuclear RNA is filed under the name Cricetulus griseus (Chinese hamster). Its description in RNAcentral is "U1 spliceosomal RNA". Lineage: Eukaryota; Metazoa; Chordata; Mammalia; Rodentia; Cricetidae. The record is from RNAcentral.